CGAGCGGUAGAGAGAAGCUUGCUUCUCUUGAGAGCGGCGGACGGGUGAGUAAUGCCUAGGAAUCUGCCUGGUAGUGGGGGAUAACGUUCGGAAACGGACGCUAAUACCGCAUACGUCCUACGGGAGAAAGCAGGGGACCUUCGGGCCUUGCGCUAUCAGAUGAGCCUAGGUCGGAUUAGCUAGUUGGUGGGGUAAUGGCUCACCAAGGCGACGAUCCGUAACUGGUCUGAGAGGAUGAUCAGUCACACUGGAACUGAGACACGGUCCAGACUCCUACGGGAGGCAGCAGUGGGGAAUAUUGGACAAUGGGCGAAAGCCUGAUCCAGCCAUGCCGCGUGUGUGAAGAAGGUCUUCGGAUUGUAAAGCACUUUAAGUUGGGAGGAAGGGCAGUUGCCUAAUACGUAACUGUUUUGACGUUACCGACAGAAUAAGCACCGGCUAACUCUGUGCCAGCAGCCGCGGUAAUACAGAGGGUGCAAGCGUUAAUCGGAAUUACUGGGCGUAAAGCGCGCGUAGGUGGUUUGUUAAGUUGGAUGUGAAAUCCCCGGGCUCAACCUGGGAACUGCAUUCAAAACUGACUGACUAGAGUAUGGUAGAGGGUGGUGGAAUUUCCUGUGUAGCGGUGAAAUGCGUAGAUAUAGGAAGGAACACCAGUGGCGAAGGCGACCACCUGGACUAAUACUGACACUGAGGUGCGAAAGCGUGGGGAGCAAACAGGAUUAGAUACCCUGGUAGUCCACGCCGUAAACG
This 750-nucleotide ribosomal RNA is filed under the name Pseudomonas sp. PTYR-1. RNAcentral's name for it is "bacterial SSU rRNA". It matches the Rfam family "Bacterial small subunit ribosomal RNA", at positions 63 to 808 of the family's 1533-position model. Lineage: Bacteria; Pseudomonadati; Pseudomonadota; Gammaproteobacteria; Pseudomonadales; Pseudomonadaceae. The record is from RNAcentral.